AAAGGUGAUUUGCAAACACAAUUUCAAAAAGAGGUAAUUUCAACAUCAGAAGGUUGUGAAGAAAACAGAAGAAUGAGACAUUUGACUGCGUGUAAAUCUUCUAAGGAAAGACACCACCAGCUUGCAGACAUUGUGAGAAGGUGGCCAUUGGCAAGCCGGGAAAAGAGCUCUCACCAGAACCCAGCCAUGCUGACACUCUGAUCUCCAAUUUGCAGCCUUCAGAACUAUCUGUGGGCUAAAAGAAGUUGAUGAAGACAGGCUUCCACUAUAUUUCAGCUUUAAACCUUUGAGAUUUGCUCUUCCCUCUGAGUCUCAA
This is a non-coding RNA of Delphinapterus leucas (beluga whale), 316 nucleotides long. The record is from RefSeq and is a predicted model, not a curated record. Lineage: Eukaryota; Metazoa; Chordata; Mammalia; Artiodactyla; Monodontidae.